This 488-nucleotide ribosomal RNA is filed under the name uncultured Pseudomonadota bacterium. RNAcentral describes it as "bacterial SSU rRNA". It matches the Rfam family "Bacterial small subunit ribosomal RNA", at positions 8 to 472 of the family's 1533-position model. The record is from RNAcentral. Lineage: Bacteria; Pseudomonadati; Pseudomonadota.
AGAGUUUGAUCCUGGCUCAGAACGAACGCUGGCGGCGUGCUUAACACAUGCAAGUCGUACGAGAAAGCUCCCUUCGGGGAGUGAGUAAAGUGGCGCACGGGUGAGUAACGCGUGGGUAACCUGCCCUAGAGACCGGGAUAACUCGCCGAAAGGCGCGCUAAUACCGGAUAUACUUCUCAUUUCUUCGGAUUUGGGAAGAAAAGGUGGCCUCUCGAAGAAGCUGCCGCUCAAGGAUGGGCCCGCGUCCCAUUAGCUUGUUGGUAGGGUAAUGGCCUACCAAGGCAACGAUGGGUAGCUGGUCUGAGAGGAUGAUCAGCCACACUGGAACUGAGACACGGUCCAGACUCCUACGGGAGGCAGCAGUGGGGAAUAUUGCGCAAUGGGGGAAACCCUGACGCAGCAACGCCGCGUGAGUGAAGAAGGCCUUCGGGUUGUAAAGCUCUGUCAGGUGGGAAGAAAGGUCAAAGAUGAAUAGUCUUUGGCUUNGA